This 502-nucleotide ribosomal RNA is filed under the name uncultured bacterium. Its description in RNAcentral is "partial 16S ribosomal RNA". It matches the Rfam family "Bacterial small subunit ribosomal RNA", at positions 29 to 507 of the family's 1533-position model. The record is from RNAcentral.
AGCGAACGCUGGCGGCGUGCCUAACACAUGCAAGUCGAACGUGAAAGGGAGCAAUCCCAAGUAAAGUGGCGUACGGGUGAGUAACACGUAGGUAAUCUACCCCAGAAUCUGGAAUAACCGGCCGAAAGGCUGGCUAAUACUGGAUAGAGCGACGGAAUCCGUAAUUGGGUUUUUCGGGAAAGGGAGCCUGUAAAAAGGCCUUCGUUCUGGGAUGAGCCUGCGUCCCAUCAGCUAGUUGGGGAGGUAAAAGCUUACCAAGGCAAUGACGGGUAGCUGGUCUGAGAGGACGAUCAGCCACACUGGAACUGAAACACGGUCCAGACUCCUACGGGAGGCAGCAGUGGGGAAUCUUGCGCAAUGGACGAAAGUCUGACGCAGCAACGCCGCGUGAGUGAAGAAGGCCUUCGGGUUGUAAAGCUCUGUCGAGUGGGACGAAAAUGCUUGGAGUUCACAGCUCCAGGAACUGACGGUACCACUAAAGGAAGCACCGGCUAACUCCGUG